ACAGGAUGCUCAGUAACGGCGAGUGAAGCGGCAACAGCUCAAAUUUGAAAUCUGGUCCCUAGGGCCCGAGUCUGUAAUUUGUAGAGGAUGCUUUUGGUGAGGUGCCGCCCGAGUUCCCUGGAACGGGACGCCACAGAGGGUGAGAGCCCCGUCUGGCUGGCCGCCGAGCCUCUGUAAAGCUCCUUCGACGAGUCGAGUAGUUUGGGAAUGCUGCUCAAAAUGGGAGGUAUAUGUCUUCUAAAGCUAAAUAUUGGCCAGAGACCGAUAGCGCACAAGUAGAGUGAUCGAAAGAUGAAAAGCACCUUGAAAAGAGGGUUAAAUAGUACGUGAAAUUGUUGAAAGGGAAGCGCUUGUGACCAGACUUGGGCGCGGCGGAUCAUCCGGGGUUCUCUCCGGUGCACUUCGCCGCGUCUAGGCCAGCAUCAGUUCGUCGCGGGGGAAAAAGGCUUCGGGAACGUGGCUCCUCCGGGAGUGUUAUAGCCCGUUGCAUAAUACCCUGCGGUGGACUGAGGACCGCGCAUCUGCAAGGAUGCUGGCGUAAUGGUCACCAGCGACCCGUCUUGAAACACGGACCAAGGAGUCGUCUUCGUAUGCGAGUGUUCGGGUGUCAAACCCCUACGCGUAAUGAAAGUGAACGCAGGUGAGAGCUUCGGCGCAUCAUCGACCGAUCCUGAUGUUCUCGGAUGGAUUUGAGUAAGAGCAUACGGGGCCGGACCCGAAAGAAGGUGAACUAUGCCUGUAUAGGGUGAAGCCAGAGGAAACUCUGGUGGAGGCUCGCAGCGGUUCUGACGUGCAAAUCGAUCGUCAAAUAUGGGCAUGGGGGGCGAAAGACUAAUCGAACCUUCUAGUAGCUGGUUUCCGCCGAAGU
RNAcentral lists this ribosomal RNA (868 nucleotides) under Trichoderma viride. Its description in RNAcentral is "LSU rRNA". It matches the Rfam family "Eukaryotic large subunit ribosomal RNA", at positions 69 to 967 of the family's 3401-position model. Lineage: Eukaryota; Fungi; Ascomycota; Sordariomycetes; Hypocreales; Hypocreaceae. The record is from RNAcentral.